Molecule: non-coding RNA, 72 nt
Organism: Ictidomys tridecemlineatus (thirteen-lined ground squirrel)
Lineage: Eukaryota; Metazoa; Chordata; Mammalia; Rodentia; Sciuridae
Source: Rfam
GGGGUUGUGUCUCAGUGGUAGAGUGCUCACCUACCAGGUGCGAGGCACUGGGUUCAAUCCUCAGCACCACCU